This 305-nucleotide ribosomal RNA is filed under the name uncultured bacterium. RNAcentral describes it as "bacterial SSU rRNA". It matches the Rfam family "Bacterial small subunit ribosomal RNA", at positions 338 to 641 of the family's 1533-position model. The record is from RNAcentral.
CCUACGGGGGGCAGCAGUGAGGAAUAUUGGUCAAUGGGCGAGAGCCUGAACCAGCCAAGUCACGUGAGGGAAGACGGUCCUAUGGAUUGUAAACCUCUUUUGUCGGGGAGCAAAAGACGGCACGUGUACCGUUCCGAGAGUACCCGAAGAAAAAGCAUCGGCUAACUCCGUGCCAGUAGCCGCGGUAAUACGGAGGAUGCGAGCGUUAUCCGGAUUUAUUGGGUUUAAAGGGUGCGCAGGCGGCAGGUCAAGUCAGCGGUAAAAUUGAGGGGCUCAACCUCUACGAGCCGUUGAAACUGGUUUUC